GAUGAAGAACGCAGCGAAAUGCGAUAAGUAAUGCGAAUUGCAGAAUUUCCGUGAGUCAUCGAAUCUUUGAACGCACAUUGCGCCCACUGGUAUUCCGGUGGGCAUGCCUGUUCGAGCGUCAUUUGUACCUUCAAGCUUUGCUUGGUGUUGGGUGUUUGUCCUCUCCCUGGUGUUUGGACUCGCCUUAAAACAAUUGGCAGCCAGUGUUUUGGUAUUGAAGCGCAGCACAAUUUGCGAUUCUGGCCUUAAAAUACUAGCGUCCAUAAGUACAUUCUCACUUUUGACCUCGGAUCAUGUAGGGAUACCCGCUGAACUUAAGCAUAUCAAUAAGCGGAGGA
Molecule: unclassified non-coding RNA, 338 nt
Filed under: soil metagenome
Description: partial contains 5.8S ribosomal RNA, internal transcribed spacer 2, and large subunit ribosomal RNA
Rfam family: 5.8S ribosomal RNA (bases 1-121)
Source: RNAcentral